CGAUAAUCUUGUCGCAUAUCUCGCUCGGGAAGGUUAUCCCCUUCCGUAGUAUGCGAUGGCCCCGUUUCCCUUUUACCGAGAUGAUGUCGAGGUUUUCGCAGAUGAGCUUGUAGCACAGAUCGGUGUAGCUGCACUUACACUGUCUUUAAGCUCGUAUCGGACAUAGAGGCUGCGCCGCGGUCAAGUUGUCGAUUGGACGCAAAGGAUGCCGCAACGCGUGACGCUCGGUGGGAACGCACCAUUAGUCGUUGGUUAUAAAAAAUUUAACCAAUCAUGUUCGCUUAUUCUUUUCUAAAGCCUCAUAUACAGAAGUCGCAAGCAGUCAGUUGCGACUUGCGACAGCCAAUGAUUGUCGAGCUUUAACUAGAAACUAGGCGCCCAUUAGCUGUCGCAAGUCGCAAUUGGCUGCUUGCGACUUCUGUAGACGAGGCUUAAUGGCGUUUUCGACCGGACAAAACCGGGGGUUAACCCAUCUUAGGUUCUUAUUCUUCUAGAACUGGCCAAUCACAGUUAUUAAAUUCUUCAGAAGAAUGGCUGUGAUUAGCUGUGAUUGAAAAAUUUUUUUAUUAGAAAAACUUUUAUUAAAAAAUUUUUUUUUAAUAAAUAGCGUAAUUAAAUAGAAA
Molecule: long non-coding RNA, 623 nt
Organism: Monomorium pharaonis (pharaoh ant)
Lineage: Eukaryota; Metazoa; Arthropoda; Insecta; Hymenoptera; Formicidae
Exons: 2
Source: RefSeq, a predicted model, not a curated record